RNAcentral lists this long non-coding RNA (430 nucleotides) under Rhipicephalus microplus (southern cattle tick). RNAcentral describes it as "uncharacterized LOC119170768". Lineage: Eukaryota; Metazoa; Arthropoda; Arachnida; Ixodida; Ixodidae. The record is from RNAcentral.
GUGGCACAUCACCAAACAGUUUAAAUAGCCAGCGCACCGAGCUGCCAUAAACAUUAGUUUUCAUAGAGAGAAGAGUUGAGUUGGCUGUUCACUAUCCGCUUAACAGCGUACGCGAUGAAGCACGCGCUGUUGGUUUUGGCAUCAAUGGUCCUUGUGGUGGUAUCGCAGUCUGUGGAAGAAUGUGACAAGACGACUCUUCUGGUUGGCAAUGGUAUGUGCACUGAAGGACCACUACCCAUUUCACCGGGCCAAACAUUAAUGCUACGGUGCCCAUGUGCUAACGUUACCUGUCAUGACCACAUGAGACGAGUUACAGUCACAUGGUGCUAACUUUCAGGAAUGGUUGAGCAGCAAGGACAAGAAAAUAAAAUUGUGUUUUCCCUUUUCAAAUAUGUGUUUUGGGCCAGUUUUUUAUUUAAAAUUUUAAAUA